CAGACCCAUUUAUUCCGGGAAGCGCCCGCCCGGUGUCCAGGCAGAAGGCGAAGCGAGAUCCGCUCGGCGGAGGCCUCAGCCCACCUGCUUCGCCGGGCGAGGCUCCCUUCCUGCGGGCCCCGAAGGAGCCCCGCCACGAGAUCUCUCGGUCGCCCUGGCGGCGCCGGAGGAGAGAGAGCGGCCCUGGCCCUGACCCUUGGCGGCAGCUCCCCGGGGCAGCAGCGGCUCUCGGGCGGCGCUUCGGGAUCCAUGGCGGCCGCCGCCUGGUCGGAGCGGGUCAAGGCGCUGCUGCGGAGGAUGAACUCUUUCCACGGAGCAGGUUCUUCAAAGGUUUUGUGCCUGCCAUUUAUGGUUGCUGGACAGCAGGUGGGCCACAUGCCGCCAUCUGUAGCCAAAUAUCUCCGUCAGUAUCCAGCUGUUUUCUCGGUGUCUCAGGGUGACGGUGUGCCUGCUUGCGUGGAACUUAACAAAAAGCUGGCAUCCUAUGAGCAAAGAACAAAUGCUGUGCAAGGAGUACUCAGGGAAAUGAGAGCACAAGAAGCCUUUCCUUGCCUGAAGGAGUGGAGAGAGGAGCUCUACAGUGUGAUGCCCUAUUUUUGUGACACGCCUCUCUUCAGCAUGGAGCGCUCUGCAACUUCAUUGUUUGGAGUGAAGUGUUAUGGCGCCCACCUGAACGGCUACACUUGGCGCAAUGGGCAGAUGUUCAUGUGGUUGGCCAGGAGGGCCCUGAGCAAACUGACUUAUCCUGGCUUGCUGGACAACAUGGCUGCUGGGGGCAUUGCAUCAGGGUUGGGGGUCAGAGAGACGCUGGUGAAGGAAAGCCAGGAAGAAGCUUGCAUCCCUGCUUCUCUCACUGCACUUGCCAAAGCUGCCGGAACUAUCAGCUAUACCUAUGAGGGUGCACAGGGAGGCAUCUAUGCUGAAUGCCAGUUUGUAUUUGACCUGAAGUUGCCUGAAGGUUUUGUGCCCCAGGUGGGAGACGGAGAGGUGCAGCAGUUCUACCUCUGGCCACUUGAGAAGGUGAAAGAGGCCAUUGGAUCUUCAGAUUUCAAGCCCAACUGUGCAAUGGUGGCUCUGGAUUUCCUUAUCAGACAUGGCUACAUCCAACCUGAUGGAGGUAGGCAGCAGAAGAAAGGUGGCUUGUCUGAUAAGAGGGAAUUUACGUAUGAGGGCGAGAAGGGGGCUCGCUCUGUAUAGGUGUGUAUGCAUCACUGCACCAUGGCUAGAAACAGACUCUUCUAAUAGAUUUCACUUUUCUUUCAGAACCUCAUUAUGUAGAGCUGGUGGAAGGGCUACACCGAACACUCUAGAAGGAAAAGGCUGCCCUUGUGGUUGACACAGGUCUUCUCUGUUGGUUCGUUUUUGCUGGAACAGUGAUCAUGGCAUGGACUUCAGUUGGAUUCAACAAUGGCUGCCCCAGCAGAGUUAUGUGCAGAGCUUGUGGCUCGACAGGUUACUAUGGAAGAACCACAGGGACAUGGUGGGACUUACACAGUGGCUGGUGUGACAGCUGAAUACUUCCUUUUCUUGGGUUCUGGUGGCUCAGGAACACCAUACUUUUCC
Non-coding RNA from Zootoca vivipara (common lizard), 1563 nucleotides. The record is from RefSeq and is a predicted model, not a curated record. NCBI's taxonomy places the organism in Eukaryota, Metazoa, Chordata, Lepidosauria, Squamata, Lacertidae.